Molecule: ribosomal RNA, 253 nt
Filed under: uncultured bacterium
Lineage: Bacteria
Description: partial 16S ribosomal RNA
Rfam family: Bacterial small subunit ribosomal RNA
Source: RNAcentral
UACGGGGGGGGCAAGCGUUGUUCGGAAUUACUGGGCGUAAAGGGCGCGUAGGCGGGUGCUCAAGUCUGUGGUGAAAUCCUCCGGCUCAACCGGAGAACUGCCAUGGAUACUGGGUGCCUCGAGGGUGGUAGGGGUAUGCGGAACUAUCGGUGGAGCGGUGAAAUGCGUUGAUAUCGAUAGGAACUCCGGUGGCGAAGGCGGCAUACUGGACCACAUCUGACGCUGAGGCGCGAAAGCCAGGGGAGCGAACGGG